RNAcentral lists this ribosomal RNA (254 nucleotides) under uncultured bacterium. Its description in RNAcentral is "partial 16S ribosomal RNA". It matches the Rfam family "Bacterial small subunit ribosomal RNA", at positions 102 to 353 of the family's 1533-position model. The record is from RNAcentral.
ACGGGUGAGUAACGCGUGAGUAACCUGCUUUCAAGAGGGGGAUAACAUUCUGAAAAGAAUGCUAAUACCGCAUGACAUAUCGGAACCACAUGGUUUUGAUAUCAAAGAUUUUAUCGCUUGAAGAUGGACUCGCGUCCGAUUAGUUAGUUGGUGAGGUAACGGCUCACCAAGACCGCGAUCGGUAGCCGGACUGAGAGGUUGAACGGCCACAUUGGGACUGAGACACGGCCCAGACUCCUACGGGAGGCAGCAUG